RNAcentral lists this long non-coding RNA (1679 nucleotides) under Homo sapiens (human). Its description in RNAcentral is "novel transcript". The record is from RNAcentral. Lineage: Eukaryota; Metazoa; Chordata; Mammalia; Primates; Hominidae.
CAGGAUCGCGCAUUAGCGGACGCUGGCUACGGGUGGCCGGGCGGGAUGUAACCGGCUGCUGAGCUGGCAGUUCUGUGUCCCCAGGCUUCGGCCCGGCCGCCGCCGCACAUAAACUGCGAGGAGGAGCUUUACGACUUCUCGGUCUUCGGGGCCGGGCGCAGCAAGGGCCAGACUCUGCGCUAGCAGGCGCUGCGCGCCAACCGGCCGGCCCCUGUCGCAGAAGGUGCAACCGAUCGCACUGUCGCGCAGAAGCUCCUCAAUGGCCAGCGCCAGCUGCAGCCCCGGCUGCCCACUCGCCUCACCUGAGCCUGGGUGGAACAAUCCAAAGUUUUAAUCAAAGAAGGUGGUAUUCAGUUGCUGCUUACAAUAGUUGAUACCCCAGGAUUUGGAGAUGCAGUGGAUAAUAGUAAUUGCUGGCAGCCUGUUAUCAAUUACAUUGAUAGUAAAUUUGAGGACUACCUAAAUGCAGAAUCGCAAGUGAACAGAUGUCAGAUGCCUGGUAACAGGGUGCACUGUUGUUUAUACUUCAUUGCUCCUUCAGGACAUGGACCGUUACAUAACUGAAGACUCCCACCUUCAGGCAGGAUUGGGUAGUACAUGUUUGUAACUACCUGGCAUUGCCUUUUGUUGAGACUUAAACCAUUGGAUAUUGAGUUUACAAAGCAUUUGCAUGAAAAAGUGAAUAUCAUCCCACUUAUUGCCAAAGCAGACACACUCAUGCCAGAGGAAUGCCAACAGUUUAAAAAACAGAUAAAGAAAUCCAAGAACAUAAAGUUAAAAUAUAUGAAUUUCCAGAAACAGAUGAUGAAGAAGAAAAAAAACUUGUUAAAAAGAUAAAGGACCAUUUACCUCUUGCUGUGGUGGGUAGUAAUACUAUCAUUGAAGUUAAUGGCAAAAGGGUCAUAGGAAGGCAGUAUCCUUGGAGUGUUGCUGAAGUUGAAAAUGGUGAACAUUGUGAUUUUACAGUUUUAAGAAAUAUGUUGAUAAGAACACACGCAGGACUUGAAAGAUGUUACUAAUAAUGUCCACUACGAGAACUAUGGAAUCAGAAAACUGGCAGCUGUGACUUAUCAUGGAGUUGAUAACAAGAAGAAUAAAGGGCAGCUCACUAAUAGAGACGGUAUUUCACCAUGUUAGCCAGGAUGGUCUUGAUCUCCUGACCUCGUGAUCCACCCGCCUCGGCCUCCCAAAGUGCUGGGAUUACAGGCAUGAGCCACCACGCCCGGCCAAGUGGAAUGAAUUUUCAAGAGCAUUGAAGUUACCAUAAGGGGCCUAGAAAUACUCUGUAUACCUAUAUAGUGCUCUAGGAGCCCUCUGGCACAAAUGGAAGAAGAAAGAAGGGAGCAAGUAGCUAAAAUUAAGAAGAUGGAGAUGGAGAUGGAGCAGGUGUUUGAGAUGAAGGUCAAAGAAAAAGUUCAAAAACUGAAGGACUCUGAAGCUGAGCACACACAUGCCCUCUUGGUUCUGUUUCUUUGAAGAACCCCAGGAAAACACACAAAGGAAAAACAACUCGAUAGACAGAAGAUUCUUCAAUGACAACAAUGGAAGCCAUCUUCACCAUUCAACUAAACUUGAAUGGGAUAUUAUCAAACUUAAAAAAAAAUUAUCAACUGAUCGUGUAAUCAGUUUCAUCUUUUAAGACAGGAAAUGAAAUAAAGUAUUUACAGAUGAAUGUAAAA